AACGAACGCUGGCGGCAUGCCUAACACAUGCAAGUCGAACGAAGGCUUCGGCCUUAGUGGCGCACGGGUGCGUAACGCGUGGGAAUCUGCCCCUCGGUUCGGAAUAACAGUUAGAUAUGACUGCUAAUACCGGAUGAUGACUUCGGUCCAAAGAUUUAUCGCCGAGGGAUGAGCCCGCGUAAGAUUAGGUAGUUGGUGGGGUAAAGGCCUACCAAGCCGACGAUCUUUAGCUGGUCUGAGAGGAUGAUCAGCCACACUGGGACGGAGACACGGCCCAGACUCCUACGGGAGGCAGCAGUGGGGAAUAUUGGACAAUGGGCGAAAGCCUGAUCCAGCAAUGCCGCGUGAGUGAUGAAGGCCUUAGGGUUGUAAAGCUCUUUUACCAGGGAUGAUAAUGACAGUACCUGGAGAAUAAGCUCCGGCUAACUCCGUGCCAGCCGCCGCAGUAA
Molecule: ribosomal RNA, 449 nt
Filed under: uncultured bacterium
Lineage: Bacteria
Description: partial 16S ribosomal RNA
Rfam family: Bacterial small subunit ribosomal RNA
Source: RNAcentral